AACGCCCGGUCCCAUUCCGAACCCGGAAGCUAAGCCUGGUAGCGCCGAUGGUACUGCAACCGAAGGGUUGUGGGAGAGUAGGACGCCGCCGAAC
RNAcentral lists this ribosomal RNA (94 nucleotides) under Amycolatopsis xylanica. RNAcentral also lists the same sequence under 6 other names. Lineage: Bacteria; Bacillati; Actinomycetota; Actinomycetes; Pseudonocardiales; Pseudonocardiaceae. The record is from RNAcentral.